CAAAUUGAGAGUUUGAUCCUGGCUCAGGACGAACGCUGGCGGCGUGCCUAAUACAUGCAAGUCGAGCGAGCUGAAUUCACUGAUCUCUUCGGAGUGACGUGUUGGACGCUAGCGGCGGAUGGGUGAGUAACACGUGGGCAAUCUGCCCUAAAGACUGGGAUACCACUUGGAAACAGGUGCUAAUACCGGAUAACAAUGAUGGUUGCAU
This 208-nucleotide ribosomal RNA is filed under the name Lactobacillus equicursoris. RNAcentral's name for it is "partial 16S ribosomal RNA". It matches the Rfam family "Bacterial small subunit ribosomal RNA", at positions 1 to 191 of the family's 1533-position model. The record is from RNAcentral. Lineage: Bacteria; Bacillati; Bacillota; Bacilli; Lactobacillales; Lactobacillaceae.